RNAcentral lists this ribosomal RNA (278 nucleotides) under uncultured bacterium. RNAcentral's name for it is "partial 16S ribosomal RNA". It matches the Rfam family "Bacterial small subunit ribosomal RNA", at positions 506 to 784 of the family's 1533-position model. The record is from RNAcentral.
UGCCAGCCGCCGCGGUAAUACGUAGGGAGCGAGCGUUAUCCGGAAUUAUUGGGCGUAAAGGGUGCGUAGGCGGACCUUCAAGUCGGAUGUGAAAACUAUAGGCUCAACCUUGUGAUGCUAAGGAAACUGGAUGACUUGAGUGUGAUAGAGGUAAGUGGAAUUCCAUGUGUAGCGGUAAAAUGCGUAAAUAUAUGGAGGAACACCAGUGGCGAAAGCGGCUUUCUGGGUCAUAACUGACGCUGAGGUGCGAAAGCGUGGGGAGCGAACGGGAUUAGAUA